This 464-nucleotide ribosomal RNA is filed under the name Vreelandella stevensii. Its description in RNAcentral is "partial 16S ribosomal RNA". It matches the Rfam family "Bacterial small subunit ribosomal RNA", at positions 338 to 794 of the family's 1533-position model. The record is from RNAcentral. Lineage: Bacteria; Pseudomonadati; Pseudomonadota; Gammaproteobacteria; Oceanospirillales; Halomonadaceae.
CCUACGGGUGGCUGCAGUGGGGAAUAUUGGACAAUGGGCGAAAGCCUGAUCCAGCCAUGCCGCGUGUGUGAAGAAGGCCUUCGGGUUGUAAAGCACUUUCAGUGGGGAAGAAAGCCUUGGGGCUAAUACCCUCGAGGAAGGACAUCACCCACAGAAGAAGCACCGGCUAACUCCGUGCCAGCAGCCGCGGUAAUACGGAGGGUGCGAGCGUUAAUCGGAAUUACUGGGCGUAAAGCGCGCGUAGGCGGUCUGAUAAGCCGGUUGUGAAAGCCCCGGGCUCAACCUGGGAACGGCAUCCGGAACUGUCAGGCUAGAGUGCAGGAGAGGAAGGUAGAAUUCCCGGUGUAGCGGUGAAAUGCGUAGAGAUCGGGAGGAAUACCAGUGGCGAAGGCGGCCUUCUGGACUGACACUGACGCUGAGGUGCGAAAGCGUGGGUAGCAAACAGGAUUAGAUACCCUAGUAGU